RNAcentral lists this ribosomal RNA (525 nucleotides) under Vibrio sp. BTOS7. RNAcentral's name for it is "bacterial SSU rRNA". It matches the Rfam family "Bacterial small subunit ribosomal RNA", at positions 57 to 572 of the family's 1533-position model. The record is from RNAcentral. Lineage: Bacteria; Pseudomonadati; Pseudomonadota; Gammaproteobacteria; Vibrionales; Vibrionaceae.
GCAGUCGAGCGGCAGCACAGAGAAACUUGUUUCUCGGGUGGCGAGCGGCGGACGGGUGAGUAAUGCCUGGGAAAUUGCCCUGAUGUGGGGGAUAACCAUUGGAAACGAUGGCUAAUACCGCAUGAUGCCUACGGGCCAAAGAGGGGGACCUUCGGGCCUCUCGCGUCAGGAUAUGCCCAGGUGGGAUUAGCUAGUUGGUGAGGUAAGGGCUCACCAAGGCGACGAUCCCUAGCUGGUCUGAGAGGAUGAUCAGCCACACUGGAACUGAGACACGGUCCAGACUCCUACGGGAGGCAGCAGUGGGGAAUAUUGCACAAUGGGCGCAAGCCUGAUGCAGCCAUGCCGCGUGUGUGAAGAAGGCCUUCGGGUUGUAAAGCACUUUCAGUUGUGAGGAAGGUGGUGUUGUGAAUAGCAGCAUCAUUUGACGUUAGCAACAGAAGAAGCACCGGCUAACUCCGUGCCAGCAGCCGCGGUAAUACGGAGGGUGCGAGCGUUAAUCGGAAUUACUGGGCGUAGAGCGCAUGC